Molecule: ribosomal RNA, 407 nt
Filed under: uncultured bacterium
Lineage: Bacteria
Description: bacterial SSU rRNA
Rfam family: Bacterial small subunit ribosomal RNA
Source: RNAcentral
AUUGGGCAAUGCUCGCAAGGGUGACCCAGCAACGCCGCGUGGAGGAUGAAUGUCGUAAGAUUGUAAACUCCUGUUAGAGGGGAAGAAUAGUACCGGUUGGACCGGUAUAUGACUGUACCCUCAGAGAAAGCUCCGGCUAACUACGUGCCAGCAGCCGCGGUAAUACGUAGGGGGUAAGCGUUGUCCGGAUUUACUGGGUGUAAAGGGCGCGCAGGCGGGAUAAAAAGUCAGUGGUGAAAUCCUACAGCUUAACUGUAGAACUGCCUUUGAUACUUUUAUUCUUGAGUUCGGGAGAGAGAGACGGAAUUCCAGGUGUAGUGGUGAAAUAGGUAGAUAUCUGGAAGAACACCAGUUGCGAAGGCGGUCUCUUGGUCCGACACUGACGCUGAGGCGCGAAAGCGUGGGGA